GCACCUGUAGCUCAAGCGGAAGAGCGGCUGACCUGUAAUCAGCAGAAUGGGUUUUCGAGUAACCCCGGGUGCUCCA
RNAcentral lists this transfer RNA (76 nucleotides) under Occallatibacter sp. RNAcentral's name for it is "tRNA-Thr". It matches the Rfam family "tRNA". From Rfam's summary of the family: Transfer RNA (tRNA) molecules are approximately 80 nucleotides in length. Lineage: Bacteria; Pseudomonadati; Acidobacteriota; Terriglobia; Terriglobales; Acidobacteriaceae. RNAcentral also lists the same sequence under 1 other name. The record is from RNAcentral.